UCGAGAAUCAUUCGCAAUGGGCGAAAGCCUGACGGUGCGACGUCGCGUGGAGGAUGAAGGUCUUCGGAUUGUAAACUCCUGUCAUGUGGGAUAAAUGGCCGGGGCACGAAUAGUGCCUCGGAAUGAUAGUACCACAGGAGGAAGAGACGGCUAACUCUGUGCCAGCAGCCGCGGUAAUACAGAGGUCUCGAGCGUUGUUCGGAUUUACUGGGCGUAAAGGGAGCGUAGGCGGUUCGGUAUGUCGAAUGUGAAAGCCCACAACUCAACUGUGGAAAUGCAUUCGAAACUGCCGGGCUAGAGUACUGGAGAGGAGAGCGGAAUUCUUGGUGUAGCGGUGAAAUGCGUAGAUAUCAAGAGGAACACCGGUGGCGAAGGCGGCUCUCUGGACAGAUACUGACGCUGAGGCUCUAAAGUUAGGGGAGCAAACAG
This 429-nucleotide ribosomal RNA is filed under the name uncultured bacterium. Its description in RNAcentral is "bacterial SSU rRNA". It matches the Rfam family "Bacterial small subunit ribosomal RNA", at positions 355 to 775 of the family's 1533-position model. The record is from RNAcentral.